UCCGGUAUGGUCUAGUGGCUAGGAUAUCUGGCUCUCACCCAGAAGGCCCGGGUUCGAUUCCCGGUACCGGAA
Nilaparvata lugens (brown planthopper) is the source of this 72-nucleotide non-coding RNA. NCBI's taxonomy places the organism in Eukaryota, Metazoa, Arthropoda, Insecta, Hemiptera, Delphacidae. The record is from the annotation of a RefSeq genome assembly.